Molecule: ribosomal RNA, 335 nt
Filed under: uncultured Planctomycetales bacterium
Lineage: Bacteria; Pseudomonadati; Planctomycetota; Planctomycetia; Planctomycetales
Description: bacterial SSU rRNA
Rfam family: Bacterial small subunit ribosomal RNA
Source: RNAcentral
CUAAGGCUCCAGAGGAAGCCACGGCUAACUCUGUGCCAGCAGCCGCGGUAAUACGGAGGCGGCAAGCGUUGUUCGGAAUUAUUGGGCGUAAAGAGCACGUAGGCGGCCUUGCAAGUCAGUUGUGAAAGCCUUCCGCUUAACGGAAGAAUGCCAGCUGAUACUACAGGGCUUGAGUACGGGAGGGGAGAGUGGAACUUCUGGUGGAGCGGUGAAAUGCGUAGAUAUCAGAAGGAACGCCGGCGGCGAAAGCGACUCUCUGGCCCGAAACUGACGCUGAGUGUGCGAAAGCUAGGGGAGCAAACGGGAUUAGAUACCCCGGUAGUCCUAGCCGUAAA